UUAAGGCUAGGAUAGAGAGGGAGGUUUCGCUCCCGUUCUUUCAGAGCGGCCAUCUUGGCGGCGGCAAGUGAAGCAAUGAGCGGUUUCAUUUGUGAGGGGAAUGGGGGAGAGUGAAAAGGAAAGAAGCGGCCUAGGCCUGAGGCGAAAUGAAGGGACGCGUCGUAGAGGCAUCGGCGGCAAGAAACAAGGGUCAAAAGUCUUCAAAGGCGCUUGGUGAUCCUGUGCUUUAAUGGAACGGAUCCAGACAUGGAGCCACUUUUUAUUUCCACAGUCUUACUCUUUUAUUUCUCUAUACAUCCAGGCUGAGCAUCCCUUGCCUGAAAUGCUUCGGACCAGAAGAGUUUUGGACUUUGGAACGUUUGCCCAUAUAUAAUACGGUAUCUUGGAGAAAGGUGUUUUUCCUUAUCUGUGCUACUGGUGCUGCUUCAGGUGCUAGAAAUGCAUUGCUACCUACCUAGUUAUUUGUAAAGGCACAGAAGAACUUAAGAAAAGUGCUACCUAAUCCUUUUCGCUGGAGGUAGCAGGAAUUGAAUCUGGGCUGACUUCAUGCAAAUCACCUCAUUUUCAACCAAAGGAGUGUACACAAGUCCAGAGGAAGUUGGAUUGUGGAUUGUGCUAAUGGACUUUGCCUAUUAUUAUUAUUAUCAUCAUUAUUAUUAUUAACCUUUAUUUAUAAAGCGCUGUAAAUUUACACAGCGCUGUACAUACAAUCUUUAAUUGGACAGUUCCCUGCCCUAAGGCUUUAGGAACAGCAUUGCCAACAGUUCAGCAGGUGUAGUUUCGAGUCCCAUUUGCGGUAUAGUGGAAAAGCCUUACCUGCCUGCCCUGUUGGUUAUUCAGCUGACAAAGGCAAAGCAUGGAGGUGUUUAUUGAAUGUUGCAAGACUCUGAAUUGACAAGAGCAAGCAAAGAAAUACACACACACAAAAUAAGAUUUCAUUACCCAAUUUAACCCAGUUGCUUCAGUGCUGAAUCAAAGUGGCAUCUAUUAAAAUAAAUAUUAAGUAAUUUGCAAUGACACUAAGAACAUGUACAGUACUGGAAAUUUGAAAGCCACGACUCAGCUGGCAAUAAGAGCGCAUCUCUCAAAACAAGUCACACUAACUUCAGUUUUCUUUUCUUUUCAGGCAGCUGCUGGGACUACAAUAAUGCUAAUCUUGUGUCUUUUCAGACUAAGCAAACUGGAAGCCUAGAAAGCUCUUCAUCAAGGCAGACCUAGGAAGCCGAGAUAACCUAAAUAGAAUGGCUGCUUUUUCAAGCCACCAAGGGUGGAGACCUAAGGACUCAAGAAUGAAUAGCAACAAUGAAGAUACUUCGGUGACAUAGAGACAGAACAAGAUGAAUGGUAAAACAAAAUCACAGGUGUGAUUUGACCCAUUAACUUUCCCUGCAAAGUUCAGGGCUGAGUUAAGAAUUUAGCCCUGCCCAUGUGUUUCUUACAACAGCUUUGUGAGGUUUGCAAACAAAGCAAAGACCCAGCCCAAAUGCAGCAGCCUGCUUUCCUGAAUUAAAUCG
Long non-coding RNA from Sceloporus undulatus (fence lizard), 1514 nucleotides. RefSeq lists it as uncharacterized. The record is from RefSeq and is a predicted model, not a curated record. Lineage: Eukaryota; Metazoa; Chordata; Lepidosauria; Squamata; Phrynosomatidae. The transcript is spliced from 6 exons.